RNAcentral lists this long non-coding RNA (208 nucleotides) under Mytilus galloprovincialis (Mediterranean mussel). The record is from RNAcentral. Lineage: Eukaryota; Metazoa; Mollusca; Bivalvia; Mytilida; Mytilidae.
GGCAAGAAGAAGAGCACAAUUUGUACGCAUUGGAAUGCCGACAGUCUGUUGAAAAACACGUCCUCCGAACGUAACAAAUAUGUUGUCAAUCAAGAAAAAAAGCAUCUUGAUAAUGUCAGUUUCAGAGAAUCUUUUGUUUGAAUCAGAGUGAUCCUUUACAAAGUAGGAUUUAUCCCUUCCUAAGAUAAGAUACUUGUAUCUACGUUGG